RNAcentral lists this long non-coding RNA (511 nucleotides) under Zea mays. RNAcentral describes it as "long non-coding RNA NONZMAT004112". Lineage: Eukaryota; Viridiplantae; Streptophyta; Magnoliopsida; Poales; Poaceae. The record is from RNAcentral.
CGGACCUGCCGCAACGUCCGCAGUGGCCACUGGCCGCGCCGCCGCCUGGCGUGAAGUGUGCGAGGCGAGCGGAGUGAGGGUCGCGGGAUUCGGAUUUCAGAUCGGUCACGUGAGACGUGAGACGUGAGAGCGGAGUGAAGGCUGCCCGUUGCAGCCUGUAGAACUAGCCCUAAAAAGACUAGUUUGGGAUUUCAGUUUACAUUUUGGCUUCAUUUAUUUAUCCAGAACAAUUGGUGGCAGGAAAUUCUAUAAAGAUUAGUUCGGGAAUCUUUUUUUUUAAAGGAUUUUAUUUUUUUAAAAGUGAAAUUAAUUCAUUUUUUCUUGAGAAAAUAGAAAUUUAUUAAAAAUAUGACUAGCUCUAAAAGGUAGAAAUAUAAAAAGAUAAAAUUCUACCCUGGCCUAUUGAGUUUUAUUAGUUUCUUUUCGUGGGCUGGAAAGGACUUGAUAAUUUGGUUUUGGACUCCGCCCACUAUAUCCAAACAGGUUUCUAUAAAGUUAAAUUACAUUACAU